This 443-nucleotide ribosomal RNA is filed under the name uncultured soil bacterium. Its description in RNAcentral is "bacterial SSU rRNA". It matches the Rfam family "Bacterial small subunit ribosomal RNA", at positions 26 to 518 of the family's 1533-position model. The record is from RNAcentral.
AGAACGAACGCUGGCGGCAUGCCUAACACAUGCAAGUCGAACGAGACCUUCGGGUCUAGUGGCGCACGGGUGCGUAACGCGUGGGAAUCUGCCCUUCGGUUCGGAAUAACAGUUAGAAAUGACUGCUAAUACCGGAUAAUGACGUAAGUCCAAAGAUUUAUCGCCGAAGGAUGAGCCCGCGUAAGAUUAGCUUGUUGGUGGGGUAAAGGCUCACCAAGGCUACGAUCUUUAGCUGGUCUGAGAGGAUGAUCAGCCACACUGGGACUGAGACACGGCCCAGACUCCUACGGGAGCAGCAGUGGGGAAUAUUGGUCAAUGGGCGAAAGCCUGAACCAGCCAUGCCGCGUGAGUGAAGAGGCCUUAGGGUGUAAAGCUCUUUCAGCGGGGACGAUAAUGACGGUACCCGCAGAAGAACGCCCGGACUAACUCGUACCAGCAGCCGC